Molecule: long non-coding RNA, 1022 nt
Filed under: Sus scrofa (pig)
Lineage: Eukaryota; Metazoa; Chordata; Mammalia; Artiodactyla; Suidae
Description: lncRNA (ENSSSCG00015059666.1)
Source: RNAcentral
UCCGCCAGCCCGUGCCACCGCUGCUAAUGAGAGCGGUCAUUAAGUAAAUGAGACGUCGCCUUUAGCUGGCUUAGGAGUUCGCACACUAAAGGGAGAAGAUAUUUAAUUGAAACCCCGCACACAGGCUUCCCCACAUGUGACCGCUGGAAGGGAGGCAGCUGCCUUGCCUCUCCUCCCCCGUCCACCCGCACCCCCCAUGUAAAUUUCAUGAUUGCUUUCCGUGAUGUCAUUUUGAAAGAGGACAGACAAUAGCUGUGGGAAAGGUAAGUCCACGUUACGUUCUUUCGCUGACAAAGGCAGACGCCCGGCGCUUGGCUUCUCCCCUUGGCCGGGGGCAGGGAGCGGGUGCGCGAGCGAGUUAAUUUCCAAGAUGAAGGCUUUCUUUGCUGGAAAAGCAGGUUUGGGGGUGGCUCUUUAAAGCCGCUCCGAGGACCGAGGCUUUCUUCUCCUCCGGGGCUCUCCGUGGCCGCUCUCCUGCGCUGGCUCUGCCCCUCCCUGGCUGCGCCCGUGCCUGGCCUCCUCCGAGUCUAGCGGGCACACUGUGCGGCCGACAGAAAAGACACGGGGGACCUUGUGUCAAGACGGAAACUUUAUGUGCGUUUCUGGAAGAGGAGCACGGAUCUUCUGCAGCGGGGCCCCGGCAGCUGUGUGCGGGGAGAAGGCUGGCUUCUUAGGCAGGAGACCUCUCUGGAGCAGAACGCGGCCGGGACCUGUGUGCGACCCCCACCCGGGACGGAGGAGAGAUGCCAUAAAAUGAGUUCCGGGGUGAGCUGCUGAGCCAGAGGUGGACACACGGAGACAAGGCCACCAGCUGCAGGACCUCGAGGCUCUUGCUGGGCGGACACGGCAAGGUGAGGCGCUGGGAGGGCAGCCCCCGCCCUGGGGCCCUGGGUGCAGGCAGGGGUCCAUCUCAUGCCUAGACUUUGGGUCUCGUCAUUCUCGACCUGGAUUGGGCAAAGAGUAAGUGGAGGCCAGGCCCAUUAAAGAUCUGGUCACUUUGAAACUCAAGGAGGAGAAGUCAC